CUCAUCCUAACAUUGCCUUCGAGAUGAGUUACUACCCCCAGCAGCAGCAGGCUCCUCCUCAAGAGCAGGUCCAUCCGCCGACUAAUGACGCGCUUCCGCCGGCGGGCUAUCCGAGCAGGGACGGUGCUGUGAAUUCACAACAAGUUCCCGUCGAGACCAAGAGCCGUGGCGGUAGCUUCUGGAGAGGAUGCUUCGCGGGCUGGUGUUGCUGCUGCUGUCUGGACAUGUGCUGCUGAGGAAAGUAGACGGAGAUUUAUAUUAUUAUUGUAUGAUGAUGGAAUUGCUGUUAUUGCCAAUUAUAUGUUGCAUGAGACAUUGUUUAUUUGA
Molecule: long non-coding RNA, 327 nt
Organism: Musa acuminata AAA Group (dessert banana)
Lineage: Eukaryota; Viridiplantae; Streptophyta; Magnoliopsida; Zingiberales; Musaceae
Exons: 3
Source: RefSeq, a predicted model, not a curated record